RNAcentral lists this ribosomal RNA (468 nucleotides) under uncultured bacterium. RNAcentral's name for it is "partial 16S ribosomal RNA". It matches the Rfam family "Bacterial small subunit ribosomal RNA", at positions 28 to 507 of the family's 1533-position model. The record is from RNAcentral.
GACGAACGCUGGCGGCGUGCUUAACACAUGCAAGUCGAACGGAAAGGCCCUGCUUUUGUGGGGUGCUCGAGUGGCGAACGGGUGAGUAACACGUGAGUAACCUGCCCUUGACUUUGGGAUAACUUCAGGAAACUGGGGCUAAUACCGGAUAGGAGCUCCUGCUGCAUGGUGGGGGUUGGAAAGUUUCGGCGGUUGGGGAUGGACUCGCGGCUUAUCAGCUUGUUGGUGGGGUAGUGGCUUACCAAGGCUUUGACGGGUAGCCGGCCUGAGAGGGUGACCGGCGACCAUGGGCCUGCGGUACGGCCCAGACUCCUACGGGAGGCAGCAGUGGGGAAUAUUGCACAAUGGGCGGAAGCCUGAUACGGCAACGCCGCGUGCGGGAUGACGGCCUUCGGGUUGUAAACCGCUUUCGCCUGUGCCGAAGCGUGAGUGACGGUAAUGGGUAAAGAAGCACCGGCUAACUACGUG